AUUCUAUUUGAUGUAAAUACAUGAUUAGAUACUCAGGUAUGUAUAUAUACUAGUUAAAUAAAUGUGUAUACUUGUAUAAUAUUAUUUGUAGCCUUGUGACAUCAUCACGAUGGUAACUUGUGUACGAGUGAUUCACCCCUUACAACAGUUAGUGCAGGAUUCUAAGACCUCAAGUUGAAGUUCAUUGAGAAAAGGAAAACGUGAUUGUGAGAGACAUUAAUUAUAAUACAAGGACCGUUAGUGUUGAUUAGUGAUCUAGUUUAUUUUUCGAGUCCGAAGAGAAAGAUCUAUUUGAUAUGUAUUGAUGACGUCACUGGACUGGAUGACAGGCAUCUGUGGUGUUUGAUCAGCUCGUGAUUAUUUGUGGGUUAGAGUCUUUUGUAGGAAUUUAUCUUUUUAUCAUUUUAAAUUGAAAAAUUGUACGAUACUUAUGUAAACUGGAAAUGUUUUAUAUUUGAAAAUCCUUUGAUCAAAAUUACUAGAUGAUUGUUUGAUAUAAGUGAUGCAUAUAUUUAUGGACUUACUUUAAAUUUAUAUAAAGAGAAU
Molecule: long non-coding RNA, 546 nt
Filed under: Trifolium pratense (red clover)
Lineage: Eukaryota; Viridiplantae; Streptophyta; Magnoliopsida; Fabales; Fabaceae
Description: long non-coding RNA (TPRA_LNC010480)
Source: RNAcentral